AGAGUUUGAUCAUGGCUCAGGAUGAACGCUGGCGGCGUGCCUAACACAUGCAAGUCGAGCGAUUUACUUCGGUAAAGAGCGGCGGACGGGUGAGUAACGCGUGGGUAACCUGCCCUGUACACACGGAUAACAUACCGAAAGGUAUGCUAAUACGAGAUAAUAUGCUUUUAUCGCAUGGUAGGAGUAUCAAAGCUUUUGCGGUACAGGAUGGACCCGCGUCUGAUUAGCUAGUUGGUAAGGUAACGGCUUACCAAGGCGACGAUCAGUAGCCGACCUGAGAGGGUGAUCGGCCACAUUGGAACUGAGACACGGUCCAAACUCCUACGGGAGGCAGCAGUGGGGAAUAUUGCACAAUGGGCGAAAGCCUGAUGCAGCAACGCCGCGUGAGCGAUGAAGGCCUUCGGGUCGUAAAGCUCUGUCCUCAAGGAAGAUAAUGACGGUACUUGAGGAGGAAGCCCCGGCUAACUACGUGCCAGCAGCCGCGGUAAUACGUAGGGGGCUAGCGUUAUCCGGAAUUACUGGGCGUAAAGGGUGCGUAGGUGGUUUCUUAAGUCAGAGGUGAAAGGCUACGGCUCAACCGUAGUAAGCCUUUGAAACUGGGAAACUUGAGUGCAGGAGAGGAGAGUGGAAUUCCUAGUGUAGCGGUGAAAUGCGUAGAUAUUAGGAGGAACACCAGUUGCGAAGGCGGCUCUCUGGACUGUAACUGACACUGAGGCACGAAAGCGUGGGGAGCAAACAGGAUUAGAUACCCUGGUAGUCCACGCCGUAAACGAUGAGUACUAGCUGUCGGAGGUUACCCCCUUCGGUGGCGCAGCUAACGCACUAAGUACUCCGCCUGGGAAGUACGCUCGCAAGAGUGAAACUCAAAGGAAUUGACGG
This 879-nucleotide ribosomal RNA is filed under the name uncultured bacterium. RNAcentral's name for it is "bacterial SSU rRNA". It matches the Rfam family "Bacterial small subunit ribosomal RNA", at positions 8 to 916 of the family's 1533-position model. The record is from RNAcentral.